UGAAGCCCGGACGUCCCAGGAUGCGAGUGCCCAGUGGGCCACUUUUGGUAAGCAGAAUGGCGCUGUGGGAUGAACCAAACGCUGGGUUAAGGCGCCCGAUGCCAGACGCUCAUCAGAUCCCAUGAAAGGUGUUGGUUGCUAUAGACAGCAGGACGGUGGCCAUGGAAGUCGGAAUCCGCUAAGGAGUGUGUAACAACUCACCUGCCGAAGCAACUAGCCCUGAAAAUGGAUGGCGCUGUAGCGUCGAGCCCAUACCCGGCCGCCCCGGCUGGGCACGGAAGCUUAGGCCGGGGUGAGUAGGAGGUGUCGCAGCGGCGUGCGUUGAAGGUGCCGGGCGUGGGCCCGCCUGGAGCCGCCGCUGGUGCAGAUCUUGGUGGUAGUAGCAAAUACUCAAGUGAGAACCUUGAGGAUGAAAGUGGAGAAGGGUUCCAUGUGAACAGCAGUUGAACAUGGGUCAGUCGGUCCUAAGGGAUAGGAGAAAUCCGUUCCGAAGCGGGACCUGCGUGCACCGUGAGGUCCCGUGGUCGACCGAAAGGGAAUCGGGUUAAUAUUCCCGAACUCGGACGCGGAGAUCGGCCCCUCGGGGUCAACUGCGGUAACGCAACCAAACUCGGAGACGUCGAUCGGGGUCCCGGGAAGAGUUGUCUUUUCUUUGUAAGGGAUCGGCUCCCUGGAAUCGGCUCGCCCGGAGAUAGGGAUGCUGUUCCCGUAAAGCACCGCGGCUCUUGCGGUGUCCGGAGCGCUCCGGUCGGCCCUUUAAAAUCCGAGGGAGAGUGUGAUUUUCGUGCCGGACCGUACCCAUAUCCGCAGCAGGUCUCAAAGGUGAAAGCCCUCUAGUCA
RNAcentral lists this ribosomal RNA (840 nucleotides) under Pseudocellus sp. MCZ IZ 99283. RNAcentral's name for it is "partial large subunit ribosomal RNA". It matches the Rfam family "Eukaryotic large subunit ribosomal RNA", at positions 1092 to 1889 of the family's 3401-position model. Lineage: Eukaryota; Metazoa; Arthropoda; Arachnida; Ricinulei; Ricinoididae. The record is from RNAcentral.